UAGUAUAGUGGCAGUACAUCACGUUGUGGCCGUGAUGACCCUGGUUCGAUUCCAGG
This 56-nucleotide transfer RNA is filed under the name Smittium mucronatum. It matches the Rfam family "tRNA", at positions 8 to 63 of the family's 71-position model. Rfam says of the family: Transfer RNA (tRNA) molecules are approximately 80 nucleotides in length. Their secondary structure includes four short double-helical elements and three loops (D, anti-codon, and T loops). Further hydrogen bonds mediate the characteristic L-shaped molecular structure. tRNAs have two regions of fundamental functional importance: the anti-codon, which is responsible for specific mRNA codon recognition, and the 3' end, to which the tRNAs corresponding amino acid is attached (by aminoacyl-tRNA synthetases). tRNAs cope with the degeneracy of the genetic code in two manners: having more than one tRNA (with a specific anti-codon) for a particular amino acid; and 'wobble' base-pairing, i.e. permitting non-standard base-pairing at the 3rd anti-codon position. The record is from Rfam by way of RNAcentral. Lineage: Eukaryota; Fungi; Kickxellomycota; Harpellomycetes; Harpellales; Legeriomycetaceae.